AACAAAAUGAAAAUAAAAAAUAACAAGAAGAUCAUUAAUAUACACAAUAAAAGUAAAUAUUUUAAGAGUCCCCUGUCCUCAGUUCAAUAGACUGUUUUAAAAAGGAUCCUAGCUUAUUUACCUGAAUGUGUGAAAUUGGGUUGAGUAUAUAUAUGCUAUUUUAUCUAUGUCAUUUAAAGUCAUAUGAAACGAGUGACCGGUGAAAAAUAAUGUUAUUCCAAUUCUUGAACCAAUGCAUACAAACAUCAUAAACUUAAAAUUAGUCUUCUGUGCACGAUUUUAUCUUUUUUUU
RNAcentral lists this long non-coding RNA (292 nucleotides) under Mytilus galloprovincialis (Mediterranean mussel). Lineage: Eukaryota; Metazoa; Mollusca; Bivalvia; Mytilida; Mytilidae. The record is from RNAcentral.